RNAcentral lists this ribosomal RNA (468 nucleotides) under uncultured bacterium. RNAcentral's name for it is "partial 16S ribosomal RNA". It matches the Rfam family "Bacterial small subunit ribosomal RNA", at positions 28 to 507 of the family's 1533-position model. The record is from RNAcentral.
GACGAACGCUGGCGGCGUGCUUAACACAUGCAAGUCGAACGGAAAGGCCCUGCUUUUGUGGGGUGCUCGAGUGGCGAACGGGUGAGUAACACGUGAGUAACCUGCCCUUGACUUUGGGAUAACUUCAGGAAACUGGGGCUAAUACCGGAUAGGAGCUCCUGCUGCAUGGUGGGGGUUGGAAAGUUUCGGCGGUUGGGGAUGGACUCGCGGCUUAUCAGCUUGUUGGUGGGGUAGUGGCUUACCAAGGCUUUGACGGGUAGCCGGCCUGAGAGGGUGACCGGCUACAUUGGGACUGAGAUACGGCCCAGACUCCUACGGGAGGCAGCAGUGGGGAAUAUUGCACAAUGGGCGGAAGCCUGAUGCAGCAACGCCGCGUGCGGGAUGACGGCCUUCGGGUUGUAAACCGCUUUCGCCUGUGACGAAGCGUGAGUGAAGGUAAUGGGUAAAGAAGCACCGGCUAACUACGUG